CUGAAGGAGAAAAGUUGAAUUCGAUGAAUCUCCUCCUGUACAUGGCACCGAUAGCAGUGGUUCUCCUUCUUCCUGCUACAAUCCUGAUGGAGGAAAAUGUGGUUGGCAUCACACUUGCACUUGCAAGAGAAGAUUUCAAAAUCAUUUGGUACUUGCUUUUCAAUUCGUCGAUGGCUUAUUUUGUGAACCUGACCAAUUUCUUGGUCACCAAACACACCAGUGCGUUGACUCUCCAGGUUCUGGGGAAUGCCAAAGGUGCUGUUGCUGUGGUUGUCUCGAUUUUGAUAUUCAAGAACCCUGUCUCUGUAACGGGGAUGCUCGG
This 322-nucleotide unclassified non-coding RNA is filed under the name Hevea brasiliensis (rubber tree). The record is from RNAcentral. Lineage: Eukaryota; Viridiplantae; Streptophyta; Magnoliopsida; Malpighiales; Euphorbiaceae.